GUUUGAUCCUGGCUCAGGACGAACGCUGGCGGCGCGCCUAACACAUGCAAGUCGAGCGAUAACCAGGGCUUGCCCUGGGGACAGCGGCGAACGGGUGCGUAACACGUGAGCAACCUGCCCCAAAGACCGGGACAACCCGAGGAAACUCGGACUAAUACCGGAUGCCCUCACCGGGUCGCAUGGUCUGGUGAGGAAAUGGAUUCCGCUUUGGGAUGGGCUCGCGGUCUAUCAGCUUGUUGGUGGGGUAACGGCCUACCAAGGCGACGACGGAUAGCUGGUCUGAGAGGACGAUCAGCCACACUGGGACUGAGACACGGCCAAGACUCCUACGGGAGGCAGCAGUGGGGAAUCUUGCGCAAUGGGGGAAACCCUGACGCAGCGACGCCGCGUGCGGGAUGAAGGCCUUCGGGUUGUAAACCGCUUUCAGCAGGGACGAAAUUGACGGUACCUGCAGAAGAAGGCCCGGCCAACUACGUGCCAGCAGCCGCGGUAAUACGUAGGGGCCUAGCGUUGUCCGGAAUUAUUGGGCGUAAAGAGCUCGUAGGCGGUUCGGCAAGUCGGAUGUGAAAUCUCCACGCUUAACGUGGAGGGGCCAUUCGAAACUGCUGUGACUCGAGUCCGGUAGGGGAGUGUGGAAUUCCCGGUGUAGCGGUGAAAUGCGCAGAUAUCGGGAGGAACACCAGUAGCGAAGGCGGCACUCUGGGCCGGCACUGACGCUGAGGAGCGAAAGCGUGGGGAGCGAACAGGAUUAGAUACCCUGGUAGUCCACGCCGUAAACGUUGGGCACUAGGUGUGGGACUCUAUCGACGGGUUCCGUGCCGUAGCUAACGCAUUAAGUGCCCCGCCUGGGGGAGUAC
Molecule: ribosomal RNA, 857 nt
Filed under: uncultured Actinomycetes bacterium
Lineage: Bacteria; Bacillati; Actinomycetota; Actinomycetes
Description: bacterial SSU rRNA
Rfam family: Bacterial small subunit ribosomal RNA
Source: RNAcentral